Molecule: non-coding RNA, 215 nt
Filed under: Bacillus methanolicus
Lineage: Bacteria; Bacillati; Bacillota; Bacilli; Caryophanales; Bacillaceae
Description: T-box sequence
Rfam family: T-box leader
About the family: Uncharged tRNA acts as the effector for transcription antitermination of genes in the T-box leader family. T-boxes are found upstream of many aminoacyl-tRNA synthetase genes and some amino acid biosynthetic genes usually in Gram-positive bacteria. The anticodon of a specific tRNA base pairs to a specifier sequence within the T-box motif, and the NCCA acceptor tail of the tRNA base pairs to a conserved bulge in the T-box antiterminator hairpin.
Source: RNAcentral
GAGUAAGCGAUGACGGGAACAAGUAGUGGUUCUAUCCCUGUUUCAGAAAGCCGGCGGUUGCUGCAAGCCGGUACAUAUAGAAUCAUGAAUUACCUCCUCGAGCAUUUGCUGUGAAGGAUGCUAGUAGCAGUAAACGGCUAAGCCGUUAUCUUUAAUGAGUGGAGGACAAAAUAUGUCCUCAAUAUGGGUGGUACCGCGCGUCUUGCGUCCCUGCA